GACUUUCAGAGANCGAUUGGUGCACUUCGGGGAAACUCUGACACAGGUCGCUGCAUGUUNUCUGUCGUCAGACUCGUGUCGUGAGAUGUGGGUUAAGUCCCCCGGUAACGAGCGCAAACCUUGGUCCNUUANGUUACCAGGGCACGUUUAAUUGGUGGGCACUCUAAGGAGACUGCCGGGGUUGACAAACCGGAGGAAGGUGGGGAUGACGUCAAAGGUUCAUCAUGGCCCUUACGGCCUGGGCUACACACGUGCUACAAUGGUCGGUACAGAGGGUUGCCAAGCCGCGAGGUGGAAGGCCCUAAUCUCAC
This 311-nucleotide ribosomal RNA is filed under the name Pseudomonas putida. RNAcentral describes it as "bacterial SSU rRNA". It matches the Rfam family "Bacterial small subunit ribosomal RNA", at positions 983 to 1277 of the family's 1533-position model. Lineage: Bacteria; Pseudomonadati; Pseudomonadota; Gammaproteobacteria; Pseudomonadales; Pseudomonadaceae. The record is from RNAcentral.